Molecule: ribosomal RNA, 775 nt
Filed under: uncultured Neocallimastigales
Lineage: Eukaryota; Fungi; Neocallimastigomycota; Neocallimastigomycetes; Neocallimastigales
Description: partial large subunit ribosomal RNA
Rfam family: Eukaryotic large subunit ribosomal RNA
Source: RNAcentral
GUACACGCUGUGACUAGCAUAUCAAUAAGCGGAGGAAAAGAAACUAACAAGGAUUCCCCUAGUAACGGCGAGUGAAGCGGGAAGAGCUCAAAUUUGAAAUCUUAAAGGGUUUCCCUUUACGAAUUGUAGUUUAAAGAAGUGUUUCCUGUUGAGGUUUUGGUAAAAGUUCUUUGGAAUAGGACAUCAUAGAGGGUGAGAAUCCCGUAUUUGACCUUUACUUUCAACUUUGUGAUACACUUUCAAAGAGUCGGAUUGUUUGGGAAUGCAGUCCAAAAUGGGUGGUAAAUUUCAUCUAAAGCUAAAUAUUGGCGAGAGACCGAUAGCGAACAAGUACCGUGAGGGAAAGAUGAAAAGAACUUUGAAGAGAGAGUUAAACAGUACGUGAAAUUGUCAAAAGGGAAGCGUUUGACACCAGUGUUGUUUUUCUGAAAAUCAAUUAAAGAACUGUUUAUGCUAAGCUUGUUUAGACUUUAUCAGCUAUCUGUUUAGUUUUGAGCUUUUCUUUAAUGCACUUUUCAGUUAACAAGUCAACAUCAAUUUCUUUUGCUGUAAAAAAGCUUGAGGAAGGUGGCUUGAGAUUCGUCUUAAGUGUUUAUAGCCUCUUGCCUAUGCAGUCGGAGAGAUUGAGGUCUGCAGCGUAGAUCCUUCGGGGCUAAAUGCAUUUGUGCUAAGUUAUAGCAUUUUAUAGACAACUUGUUGACUAUGAUUUGUCUUGUAGCUUACUCGCUUAUGUUAUUUUACCUACGCUUAGGAUGUUGAAGAUGUAGCACAUCAU